This is an RNA transcript of Anguilla rostrata (American eel), 4805 nucleotides long. It is a transcript of the gene named electrogenic sodium bicarbonate cotransporter 4-like, with no coding region annotated. The record is from RefSeq and is a predicted model, not a curated record. Lineage: Eukaryota; Metazoa; Chordata; Actinopteri; Anguilliformes; Anguillidae. The transcript has 27 exons.
CACUGUCUCUCUGUCCUCUGCCAUUCUGGGACCAGUCCAGUCCAGGCCUGCCCACAGUGCGCACUUCUGAGCAUCGUCAAUGCGAAUGAACCCUCACACCAGCAGGAAGGACUCUCUCCUCCAUUUCAUGCCAACGCACUUCAAAGACUUAGAGAAGAAUGGAUCAUGAUGGGAUGGGGGGCAGGGGAGUGGAGAAUGGGCGUCGGCGGUACGAGGAGGAAGAAGAGCACCACUCCGUCUACAUCGGCGUUCCCGUGCCGCGCAGUUACCGGCGCAAGCGGCGUCGCCGUCGGUCAGACUCCAGCCGUGAGACGGGAGACGGCGACCGGGAGAGACGCCAUGAGUCCCACAGACACCAGCACCAGGACAGAGACGACAGGAGGCGCUUCGACAUGGACGAUGGGGGCCUGGACCCACAAGAUCAGAGCCCUCCUCCGGACCCCAACUCCACCAUGUCUCCAGCGGCAGAGAGACUACGCUACAUCUUGAACGAUGAAGACGAUGUGCCCACCCCCACCAUCUUCACCGAGAUGGACACACUUCAGCAUGAGGGUGACGAGCUGGAGUGGAAGGAGUCAGCCAGGUGGGUGAAAUUUGAGGAGAAGGUGGAGGAGGGUGGGGAGAGGUGGAGUAAGCCGCACGUCUCCACCCUGUCCCUGCACAGCCUGUUUGAGCUGCGCACUUGUCUGCAGACUGGCACCAUCAUGCUGGACCUGGAGGGGUACUCCCUGCCCCAGAUAGUGGAGGAGAUUGUGGAGAAGCAGGUGGAGGACGGGCUCAUUGGACCCGAGCUGAGGGACAAGAUUGUCUAUGUCCUUCUGAGGAAACACAGACACCAGACCAAGAAACCUAUUCACCGCUCUCUGGCUGACAUUGGGAAGGCCUCCUCCUCCAGCCGAAGCCCUGCCCGCAGCCCCACCGCAGGGGCGGGGUUCCAUCGCUCCACAGAAGAUCUGCGCAUGAAGCAGGCGGGCAGCUAUGGCCGUCUGCAUCAUGCCCAGAGUCGGAGCAUGAAUGAUAUUUCAGAUACACCCAGCACAGACCAGCUGAAGAAUAAAUUCAUGAAGAAGAUUCCUCGCGACGCCGAAGCUUCCAAUGUGCUGGUGGGGGAGGUGGACUUCCUGGAAAAGCCCUUUGUGGCAUUUGUCCGUUUAUCCCAGGCCACCACCCUGGGGGGGCUGACCGAGGUCCCCGUGCCAACCAGGUUCCUCUUUGUGUUACUGGGGCCACAGGGCAAAGGGAAGUCGUACAAUGAGAUUGGCCGUGCCAUUGCCACUCUGAUGGUGGAUGACCUCUUCAGUGAUGUGGCUUAUAAGGCUCGGGACCGAGAGGACCUCAUUGCCGGUAUUGAUGAGUUCCUAGAUGAGGUGAUUGUGCUGCCACCAGGAGAGUGGGAUCCCAAAAUCCGCAUUGAGCCCCCCAAAAAAGUGCCCUCGGCAGACAUGAGGAAGUCAGUCUUCUCCCUAAACGAGUUGGGACAGAUGAACGGGACGGCAGGAGGGGGAGGAGGUGCUGCUGAGGAUGAGGAGAUGCCCGCACCCCACGAACUGGGAGAGGAGCUGGCGUUCACUGGGAGGUUCUGUGGCGGCCUGAUAUUGGACAUUAAGCGGAAGCUGCCCUGGUUCCCCAGAGACUUCUAUGAUGGCUUCCACAUCCAGUCCAUCUCCGCCGUGCUCUUCAUUUACCUGGGCUGCAUCACCAACGCCAUCACCUUCGGGGGGCUGCUGGGAGACGCCACUGACAACUACCAGGGUGUGAUGGAGAGUUUCCUGGGUACGGCUCUGGCUGGUACGAUCUUCUGUUUGUUUGGCGGCCAGCCCCUCAUCAUCCUCAGCUCCACUGGGCCCAUCCUGAUCUUCGAGAAGCUGCUCUUUGAGUUCAGCAAGUCUAACAACAUAGACUACAUGGAGCUGCGACUGUGGAUAGGGCUCCACUCCUGCCUCCAAUGCUUUAUUCUGGUCGCCACGGAUGCCAGCUACAUCAUCAAAUAUAUGACACGCUUCACAGAGGAAGGCUUCUCCAGCCUCAUCUCCUUCAUCUUCAUCUCUGACGCCAUCAAGAAGAUGGUGGGUUCCUUCAAGUACUACCCCAUCAACAGGGAAUUCAAGCCGGACUACAUCACUACAUACAAGUGCGAGUGCCUGGCCCCUGAUCCAGUGGUUUCAAUGACUUUCAAUGUAUCGGCUCCAGUGGCAGUGGACAACAGCACUAACCUGUCUGUGUAUAAUGUGACAGCCCUGGACUGGAGCCAGCUCAGCAAGAAGGAGUGCCUGAAGUACGGGGGCACCCUGGUGGGGAAGUCCUGCAAGUACGUGCCUGACCUGGCCCUCAUGUCCUUCAUCCUCUUCUUCGGCACCUACUCUAUGACCGUCUCACUCAAGAAGUUCAAGUUCAGCCGAUACUUCCCCACCAAGUGGCGUACCCUGAUCAGUGACUUUUCCAUCAUUAUUUCCAUCCUGGUCUUCUGUGUGCUGGACUUUCUCCUGUGCCUGGACACCCCCAAACUGCAUGUUCCCACGGAGAUAAAGCUUCGGAAGCUCAUCAGUGAUUUCUCCAUAUUCAUGUCAAUCAUGACGUUUGUGGGGCUCGAUAUGUUAAUGGGCCUAAAAACUCCUAAACUCAUAGUGCCAACAGAGUUUAAGCCGACACGCCCUGACCGUGGCUGGGUGGUGCAGCCUUUUGGGAAGAACCCCUGGUGGAUAUACGUGGCCAGCUUCGUCCCGGCCCUCCUCGUCACCAUCCUCAUUUUCAUGGACCAGCAGAUUAGUGCUGUCAUCGUCAACCGCAAGGAGAACAAGCUGAAGAAAGGGUGUGGCUACCACCUGGACCUGCUCUGGGUGGGGGUCCUGAUGGUGGCCUGCUCCUUCAUGGGGCUGCCGUGGUACGUGGCAGCGACUGUCAUCUCAAUCGCCCACAUCGACUCCCUCAAGAUGGAGAGCGAGUCCAGCGCCCCGGGGGAGCAGCCACAGUUCCUGGGAGUGAGGGAGCAGAGGCUGACAGGAACCCUGGUGUUUGUAUUGACCGGAGUUUCCAUCUUCCUUGCUCCCAUACUCCAGUACAUCCCCAUGCCAGUGCUCUACGGUGUCUUCCUUUACAUGGGGGUGGCGUCUCUCAGUGGCAUUCAGUUCUGGGACCGAAUAAAGCUGUACCUGAUGCCAGCGAAGCACCAGCCAGAUUUCACCUACUUGCGGCACGUGCCUCUGCGGCGGGUGCACCUCUUCACCCUGGUGCAGAUCACCUGCCUGGCGGUGCUCUGGAUCCUCAAGUCCACCGUGGCAGCCAUCAUCUUCCCAGUCAUGAUCCUGGGCCUGAUGGUGGUACGGAAGAUGCUAGACCUGGUGUUCUCCCAGCACGACUUGGCCUGGCUGGACGAUAUUCUGCCCGAGAAGGACAAGAAGAAGAAGGAGGAUGAAAAGAAAAAGAAAGACAAGAAGAAAUCCAGAGGAGAGGAUGACAUUGAACCAGAGGAGAAAUACCACCCUUACUCUAACUGCUCGGGAGAUGAGUCUGACCUGGACCGUAGGUACUGUGUACUCAAACUGCACGUGCCCUACAGUGACCUGAUCAAGGCCCCCGAAUCCCACGCUGACUGGGGUGCACACUGCCAGCUCGACAACACCUACUCCUACUGACAUAUGUACAGAAACACUCAAACACACACACACACAACCAUGCACUAACACAGAUACGCACAGAACUAUGCUCUUACACGCACAUACAUGACCAUGCACUUUCUCACACACACACACACACACACACCCACGCACACAGACAUAUGUACUUUCACCCACACACAGACAUGUACACGCACACUCCUCUAGUAUUCCUAUGUAAUUCAGUGACUCCUUAAAGUAACAGAUUUCUAUUUGUUUCAAUUGCUAUGCACCUGAAAGCAAUGUAGACUUUAGUUCUGUGUUAAUUUCUUGUUUUGUGAAACUUUUAAAAACUUUUUAAAUUAUGUCUUGACAUAUAAACAGGCUAGAUACAUAAAAACAUUGUUAUAUCUGUGACUCUCUUACACCAGCUGGUGAAAUGUAAAAACAAAAGUAUUAGUUUAUGUUUUGUCUCUCUCGCUCUCUCUCUCUGUCGCUUGUCGAGAUUUUAUUUCCAAAAAAAAAAAACAAUUUUGCGAAACUAUUUGCUGCUGGGUUAUAUGUGAGAUUAUAAACAUUAGGGGCUUUUUAAUGCACAUGUGUAUAUUCACAAUCUCAAAGAAUCAUUGUGUCAGUUGUUUUAUAUACAUACACAAAUAAUAAAAGCCAUUUUACCCAUAUGUCACUGAUAUCUAUUACCAAGGUCAGACCCAGCACUGAUGAAAUCUAUUGAUAUAUACAUCCUGUUCACAUAUUCACUGUCCCAAAUGUCUGUGAAAAUGACAGUACAUACCGUAGUGAUAAACCACCAAAUCACUGGCCUUUUGAGAGAGCAGGAAGCUUCAGUCCAGUCUCUGUCGUGCUUUGCAUUUCAAGAUGGUAUUAUAUUAUUUUUUCUAUAACUACAACUCAUUGUCUGAAAAACACUGAAACGAACAAAAAAGUGAAAGAAUCAUCAAGGAAAAGUUUCCUUAAAUGUGAGCAAAUUAAAGAAAGAUGAAGGGGGAAAUGACAGGAGCAGUCAGAUUGAAUUGCCUCUCCUCUCCCUGCAGCGCAGCGUAGCGUUUAUCCACAGCACAGGAAUGAGCUGUGAGCAGGUGAUACGGCAGCACAUUGUGCCCCUUUCUGCCAUUUGUGCACAUGCUAAAAACAACAGUCACGCUUCUGGGAAUCAACCUUACGGUUACUGGAUUUCUGGUUGUUUCUUUUUUU